GUAGAAUUUGUUCGGAGAACCUAUUCAGUUGGAAUUACAAUGUAAUUCGAUCCUUCUCUAAUACAAUACUCUCAAUCACAUUAUUAGGGUAUGAAUAUAUUAUGUCAAACCCCUAAUGUGAUUAUUCCAUGUUAUAUGAUUCAAUUGAGUCGUACAGGAACGCUUUCCUUUAUUACGCUCGAUACUUCGGCCGAAGAUUCCCGAAUCAUAUCUUAGAGUAUUCUUCCUCUCAUAACGAGGAUUAGAGAUCCCUUGUUGCGCAUUUACUUGCCUCCAUGGCUAAGUGGCUUAACCCUAACUAUGCCGUGGACACCCGCGAAUGGAGUGACUUUGACAUAAUCAAAGAUCAAGGACCUAACCACAAGACAACUACGAUGCCUCAGGUCAAAGGACUACUUACAUUAUUCCAACCAUUAGAGUUACUUGCUUGACAUGUGAGUAGACCUCCAUGCAAGUACUCUCGUUCGAUUGUGUUCAGUGAACUCAUUCCCUUAAUGAGCACCUACAUACCUGUCUUAGUGUCACUACACGAAUGGGAUGAGACUUUCCAUCCUUCCAAUUGAAGGGGACAUAAUAUGUACUGGUUUUUGCAUUGUCAGUGUCCCUCUGACAAUCAUAUGACCAGGAACCUUUUUGGACAUGAUGGUUAUGUGAAGAAGGUCUUUGUAGUCUAACAUCAUUAGAUUACUUCUUCCAUCGAUCCAUUGUCCAUGGAUUCAUUAUUUAGGACAUAUAUCGUUUAUUGAGAUAGUCCUAAUUAGUAUCUUUGCCUUUUGAUGUAUAAGAGUCAUCUAUACACACAUUCAUUGUCCUGAAAGGUUUCUUCCAAAGAUUGACUUUCAGGGCAUAUUUCCAACAUUAAAUACUUGGAUGUGAUCCUGAACUGAUGUAGAAGAAAACCAUUGGGUAUAAACUGUCUUUACAUAUGAUUUUGUAGUUUAUGCUUCAAUGUGUUUUACAUACGAUUAGGCAACAUACAACGUAUAACCUUUAAAGUAGUUUAUGUUUGAAUGUAUGUUAGGUAUAACCUUUCAGCUUCUAGCUAGUUAUAUUAAGUUUUUUUUUCAAUUCAAUCUUGCAUGUUCACUUUAUUUUUGUUUCCUAAGUUGUAUCAUGUCAAAUUUGAUUUUUUUAACCUUCAUCUCCUUUAAAAUGACAUAAAUGACAAGUCCGUGAAUGACUUACAUAUUUGUCCUGGGCAACAUCAUUUAUCCACUGACUGUUCUUGUCUUUAUGGAGAGCCCCCCAAUUGUCAAUCACAGAUAAUGGAUUUCCUUUCUGCUCAAUAAUGCAGAAACAUACAUUAGAAUAGGUAAAUUCCAUAAUGAGUAUAAUAAGUAAUUUAAUUUUAUUACCAUCUGGGCCUUUCUAGCAUGUUGGAUAAAUGGUCUUGCCCCUCCUUUGUGGUGAUACUUCUGUUUCUUCCUAUUAUCAACAUUUUGCUUUUAAAGCUCCUACAUUACACGUUUGGUACAUGACAUACAAAAGAAGAUUUAGUUAGCUAUACAUGUGUACAAUUUGGAAAGUUUCAAGCUCUCAAAUUUGUCAUAUAUAACGUCAUGUAUUUCAGUUGUACAUAUUCAUUCACCUUAGAUGGCUAUCUCACCUCACCUUCUAUAUUCUCUCGGUCAACAAUGUUAGAAACAUCACAAGCUAAGGAGAGAGAAACAUAUAAACACCAAGCUUAAGGAAAUUGAAUGGAAGAUACUAUUUCUUCUACCAAGGGCAUUAGGCUAACACAGUUAGUCAAAUGACUAUAUGAUAACAAUUUUCAAACAUUAAAUUUUAACUACAAAUUACCUAAGUGUCAAGAAGUAACCAUCAACAAACUUCAGAUUUUAACUCAAAAUUACCUAAGUGUAAAGAAGUAACAAUCAAUUUAACCACAAGGUGAAAUUCAUUAAUGCAUGUUAGGAUAUUUUUAUUUCAAAUAUGGCUAUCGAAACUAUUAGACGAUAUGGGGUGACUGAUGCUACAUAUAACUGAUGUUGCAUACAUAUGGGGGUGACUGAUUAUUAGAUGAUAUGAGGUGACUGAUGCUGCAUAUAUGGGGUGAUUGAUGCUGCAUAUUGACUAAUUAUUAGACGAUAUAGGGUGACUGAUGCUACAUAUGGAUAUUAGACGAUAUGGGGUGACUGAUGCUGCCAAAUUUUAUGUUUCCUCUUUCCAUGGGAUUCUCUAUUAAGUCUAAUACCUUAAUUUGAGGAAGUUUGACAUCUAGAUGAAAGGUUAGAGGUUCUGACUAUAAAAAUGGAAUUUGUAGAACAUGACAAGAAGUCUUCAUGUUGAAAGAAUUGGUUUCUAACUUGGAUACUAGAAAAGAUUGUAUAGAAUACAUACAAAAAGAGUGAGUAUUGUAAACAUUAUCACAAAACCAAUCCCAAUGACUCUUUGGUCUCCCAUUCCAUAUCAUAUCAUUUGGAAGCUUAGCUCGUCCUCUUACAGGUGUUCCACAUGACAAGUAGUGUAGAUGCAACCGAUGCCUAAACUAAGAGUACAACUUUGCCAUCUUAGUGUCAACAUAUUCAAUAAUCUUCGGAUGGGAUAUGUCCACAACAAAAAAUACCUAUUGUUAAACAUAAAUAUAUGCAAGUGAGUGCUUGAAAUUACAAUGAAUAAAUUGAAUUAAAUUCAAAACUCACAAGCAACUUCUCUUGCAGUUUCUUCUUUUCUGAAGCUGGGACCUUAAACCAUCUCUCAUAGCAAACCGGUGAAUAAGUCCUGUUUGUACCAUACUUGACCAAUCCCGAAACUACUGAGCACCGGUCAACGUUAUACCGUCAAGGACCCAAAAGAGUUUCCCUUCAACUAGGAGGCCAAUCACAGCGCGACACGUGUUGACAUCAUAAGCCAAACAUAGCGCGACACGUGUC
This 2873-nucleotide long non-coding RNA is filed under the name Malus domestica (apple). RNAcentral describes it as "long non-coding RNA (MDOM_LNC004429)". Lineage: Eukaryota; Viridiplantae; Streptophyta; Magnoliopsida; Rosales; Rosaceae. The record is from RNAcentral.